RNAcentral lists this small RNA (127 nucleotides) under Marmota monax (woodchuck). Lineage: Eukaryota; Metazoa; Chordata; Mammalia; Rodentia; Sciuridae. The record is from RNAcentral.
GCCAGGUGUGGUGACACAUGCCUGUAAUCCCAGCAUCUUGGGAGGCUGAGGCAGGAGUAUCCCAAGUUUGAGGCCAACCUCAGCAACUUAUGGAGGCCCUAAGCAAUUUUGUGAGACCCUGUCUCAA